Molecule: ribosomal RNA, 386 nt
Filed under: uncultured prokaryote
Description: bacterial SSU rRNA
Rfam family: Archaeal small subunit ribosomal RNA
Source: RNAcentral
GCGCGAAAACUUUACAAUGCUGGCAACAGCGAUAAGGGAACCUCGAGUGCCAGGUUACAAAUCUGGCUGUCGAGAUGCCUAAAAAGCAUUUCAUAGCAAGGGCCUGGCAAGACCGGUGCCAGCCGCCGCGGUAACACCGGCGGCUCGAGUGGUAACCGUUAUUAUUGGGUCUAAAGGGUCUGUAGCCGGCCGGAUAAGUCUCUUGAGAAAUCUGGCAGCUUAACUGUCAGGCUUUCAGGAGAUACUGUCUGGCUCGAGGCCGGGAGAGGUGAGAGGUACUUCAGGGGUAGGGGUGAAAUCUUGUAAUCCUUGAAGGACCACCAGUGGCGAAGGCGUCUCACCAGAACGGACCUGACGGCAAGGGACGAAAGCUAGGGACACGAACA